Molecule: transfer RNA, 85 nt
Filed under: Caudoviricetes sp.
Lineage: Duplodnaviria; Heunggongvirae; Uroviricota; Caudoviricetes
Description: tRNA-Ser
Rfam family: tRNA
About the family: Transfer RNA (tRNA) molecules are approximately 80 nucleotides in length.
Source: RNAcentral
GGAGAGUUACAUUAAUGGUAAAUGGACUGCUUGCUAAGCAGUUGUCCUGAUGGGUUUAUAGGUUCGAGUCCUAUACUCUCCGCCA